GAUGAACGCUGGCGGCGUGCCUAAUACAUGCAAGUCGAGCGAACAGAUGAGGAGCUUGCUCCUCUGACGUUAGCGGCGGACGGGUGAGUAACACGUGGAUAACCUACCUAUCAGACUGGGAUAACUUCGGGAAACCGGAGCUAAUACCGGAUAAUAUAUUGAACCGCAUGGUUCAAUAGUGAAUGACGGUUUUGCUGUCACUUAUAGAUGGAUCCGCGCCGCAUUAGCUAGUUGGUAAGGUAACGGCUUACCAAGGCAACGAUGCGUAGCCGACCUGAGAGGGUGAUCGGCCACACUGGAGCUGAGACACGGUCCAGACUCCUACGGGAGGCAGCAGUAGGGAAUCUUCCGCAAUGGGCGAAAGCUUGACGGAGCAACGCCGCGUGAGUGAUGAAGGUCUUCGGAUCGUAAAACUCUGUUAUUAGGGAAGAACAAAUGUGUAAGUAACUAUGCACGUCUUGACGGUACCUAAUCAGAAAGCCACGGCUAACUACGUG
This 497-nucleotide ribosomal RNA is filed under the name uncultured bacterium. Its description in RNAcentral is "partial 16S ribosomal RNA". It matches the Rfam family "Bacterial small subunit ribosomal RNA", at positions 28 to 507 of the family's 1533-position model. The record is from RNAcentral.